This 651-nucleotide ribosomal RNA is filed under the name Triticum aestivum (bread wheat). RNAcentral's name for it is "partial small subunit ribosomal RNA". Lineage: Eukaryota; Viridiplantae; Streptophyta; Magnoliopsida; Poales; Poaceae. The record is from RNAcentral.
AUGUUAUGGCGAGAGGGCGUGCUGAUGCUUCAACGGUGGCGGCGAGGGUCUCCGCUCGACAACGCGCCCCUCCUCCCCAAGAGCUCGUGGCGACAGAGCCGGCCACGAAGGGAAGGGGGAGGGGGCAAGGCCGAGGUUGCCGUGGCGCUCGGGGAAGAGGAGGACGGGGCGGCGCAUCGGCUUCGCCUUCGCCAGCAGUCACUUCCCCAAUGGAGGGCCACGUCGGGGACCAGCCUCGCGAAUUCUUCAUCAGGCUGCGCCGCGGUGCGUCAUCGUCUUCGUCUCCCUACUCCAUUUGCUCGGGAGAUGGAGCUCGAUCCGCCACAGGCUCUGAGACUGCAUAUGAGGGGCUACGGGAAUAGCGGCACAUGGGCCGACGUUGACUUCCCAACCCCUCAUGUCAUGCAUCUUCGUCGCGGAUGGAAGACUUCCGCUCGCAUCCACAGUCUGACGGCGGGGCUCGUUCUCUAUUUCAAACUAAUGGAAAACAGCCUCCUCUCCGUCAAGGUCUUUAGAGACUUCAGGACUCGCCUAAAGUGCUGCGUGGAGAGCUCCUCUGAUGACGAAGACUCUUCCUCGAGCGAGAGUGACGAGGAGGACAGCGGCAGCGACGACGAGGGUAGCAGGCGGGAGGAUGACGGGUCUGACUAG